GUUAAUGCCUACAAUAAGUGUUCUUGAAAUACAGUCACGCGUUGCUUAACCAUGGGGAUAUAUUCUGAUAAAUUCAUCAUUAGGCGAUUUCAUCACUGGGCGAACAUCACAGCUCGUACUCACACAAACCUAGAUGUCAUAGCCUACUACACACCUAGGCUAUAUGAUAUAGGCUAUUGCUAGCAACAAACCUGUACAGCAUGUUACUGUCUUGAAUACUUAGGCAGCAGAGCACAAUGUUAUAGAAACAGAUGAUCAGUGGCCCACGGAUUCCAGGUGAGGAUCUGGGACCCAGACAUCCAGAUAUUGAAAACACAGGGAUGGAGUCUGUAUGGAAAAAAUUAAAAUAUAGCAAAAUGUGAAAUACGGAAGAGAAAUCUUUCAAUUUCCCAAUGGAAGUGAGAAAAGAGCAAAGAAAAGUAUUGGUCUUCCAAAACAAAUAGAGGACGGAGCUGCUGCUGUUGCAUGGUGUCUAGAAACUCAGACAACUUCAUCAUUCCAUAUUUGCAUCCAAGAGAGAGAAAGAAAAACUACAAUCAUUUUCCAUUUACCCAUCAACCCAUCAACCUCCAA
RNAcentral lists this long non-coding RNA (573 nucleotides) under Homo sapiens (human). RNAcentral's name for it is "non-protein coding LINC02290:26". The record is from RNAcentral. Lineage: Eukaryota; Metazoa; Chordata; Mammalia; Primates; Hominidae.